Panicum virgatum (switchgrass) is the source of this 2740-nucleotide long non-coding RNA. RefSeq lists it as uncharacterized. The transcript has 3 exons. The record is from RefSeq and is a predicted model, not a curated record. NCBI's taxonomy places the organism in Eukaryota, Viridiplantae, Streptophyta, Magnoliopsida, Poales, Poaceae.
GUCUCUCAACAGGGCUUCGCAGCGCCGCCGCUCUGUCCCCGGCGGAUCCGCAUCCCCGGCGCUCCUCGGCGCCCUCCUCGCCCAGCCGCCGUUCCGUCACGGCCGCCGCCCGCGCCGUCCUCACCGCGCCGCCGCUCCGUCCCGGUGGAUCCGCGCAGGUCCGGCCGCCAUCCUCGCCGCACCGCCGCUCCGUCCCGGCGGAUCCGCGCUGGUCCAGCCGCCGAUCCGCAUCCCGGUCGCCGUCCGCAGCUGGGCCUCUGCAUCCCCAGCAACGUUGUCAUCCAACGCCCAGUUGUGAUGUUGCUGUCAUCCUCUUCAUCCCCUACGGGCUACGGCGUCCGCGUCGACACCCAAUGCUGACAUCCACCACUGCACCUGCAAUUGUACGAAACGGAACGGCUCCACCUCCACCCCUGAGGGAUGUGCUAAUCUAAUUAAAUGGCCAUCACUGAUGCAUUCACUCGUGCCUAAUGGCCAUCACAUCCAUUUCGAAUUUUAUCGCUUACCCCUUAUCAAACUAGAGUAGUGUACAUGUGCUAUUUUUUGGGCUUAAUGUAUUUAUCUAUAAUCUACAUUCAUUCUCCUAAUCUAUUUACCUGGAGAGUUAACAUCUAGACUUCCGAUUCUUUUGAAUGAAUGGUUGUCUAUUUGUGCCAUGUUUCCAUUAUUCGUGCUCAUAACUGGUAUUUAGUACAAAUCUUAGCUUCAUAUGACUUGUGUGUGGCAUUUGCAGCUCAUGGGAUGGUUUGACAAGGCACAUCACAAGCAAAUAUUGGAGGAGUUACUACUGUAGUCAUUCCCUGGUUCUUUUGGACAAAUUUUUCAUGUCUUGACUUCAACACUUUCACCUGAGCAUGCCAGCAUCAGUCUGGAUGGAUCCAAUUUAGACAAAUUAAUUUAACUGUGCACUCUCAUGGUUAUUUGCAGCUCCCCUGAGUAAUUCCCUUCUUCAUUUGUCGAUUAAUUUGCAGGAUGGGAAGGUGUCGCAGCUGGAGCACGACUUCAUCAGAAGCAGAGUGAGGUAAUUGGAAGAAUCGAUUUGUUUCUCGAUGGAAUGUUAGGAUGAGAUUAUUUUUUAUCUUUUAUGUAAGAUAUUUUUGAACUAUUCUGUUAUGUGAUACAAUUGUAGUAAACAAGCUGUGCAGCUAUGAGCCUAUGAUUUUUUUGUUGAUGUACCUUAAUUUGAUAGGAAAUGCAUGAGUUGUGAUCUGUGUUUGUAUGAUUGUUGGUUCGCUUUUGAUAUUAAGAUGGUGAUAUGUGUGGUCGAACAGAUUAAUCAUUACCGAAUCAAUGAUCUUUAUUAGUUCAUGAAAUUAGUUGCUCUUGACGAUAGAGGCUUGGGUGCACAGAAUUUGUGGGAUAAAUUUGUCUUUUUGCACCUGGAUAUACAAUUUUCGUUGAUUGAUUUAUAUACAGUUUUCGUUGAUUGAUCUAUAGUUUUGAAUGCAGAAACGUGGACUAUGCCAUAUGAUGGAAACUCCAUUAUAUCUUUGUGCUCAUUGCAGAUAUGUUAUGCUGCUCUGGUUUUCCAAAAUAGAUGGAUCUACAACACCACAUUGCUGUAUUUUUGAAUCUUGUGCUAUAUCAGACUCAUUGUAUUGGGUUCUCUGUGUCUCAUUCUCAUCUAAAGCAUGGGAGAAGUGGACAAACCUAGAAGUUAGCCUGAUUUCAGGUUUCGCACAUGUCUAACUAUUAACUCACUGAAUUUCUCAUGUGUUGAUUUUUUUUUUGGGCAUUAGAAUUCUCUGCAUGAAGUUGGAUCGGAUAAUGUGAAUAAAAGAUGCUUGAUAUAUACAUGCUUCUAGAAUCCAGUACCUUCUACAAUAUAAAGAGAUGAUAUUUGUUGCAAGUUUCUGAAGAAAAGCGCUGUAAGUUUCCGAGCAAAAGAAGCUAAGAUGUAUGGUUGAAAUAUACAUAACACCACAUCAGUCUGAAGUUAAAUUGGCAUGAUCAGUAGCUAGGGGCGAGAUCGCAAUUUCAUUAAAAAUAUUAUUUGAUUGUAUAUGUAAGAACACCAAAAAAUGUGAAUGCCAAUUCUUUUCUAGACAAAUAAAACUCUAGGUGCUGGUGUGAGAACUAAACUAAGUAUAAAAUUUAUUUGCAGUCAUCCAAGUGUUGAUAUCUGUCAGGCUAUUGCACUUGUUCAUGGAUAAAUUUUACUAAAGGUUUAUAUAAUAAUCCCAUGAUGAACCUUAUCCUAACCUGUGAUUUUAUACUACUCUCAUCCUAACCUGUGAUUUUAUACUACUCUCAUCCUAACCUGUGAUUUUAUACUACUCUCAUCCUAACCUGUUGCCUUCAUUGGCUGGUUGGAUGGAUGACCAGUGGGUGGUAUGAUGGAGGUCAGGGGCGUUCACUUUCCAUGGUGCACGUGCACCAUGGUUAUUUUUUAACGUAGCUUCGCCCGUGAUGGAGGUGGUGCUCCUGCAGACGUCGACAGCGGGAAGUCGCCAACCAAAAAUAUUGCCACUAGCCUCUAGGGGCAUGCCAGCGUAGAGCUGUGUCUGGUUACUUGGUGGUGGCAGGCUAACACUUGGAUAAGAGGAAGACGAUGAAGUUGCAGUUGCACCGCUGGUUACUUGGAUCUUUGGAUCUCACGUGGGAAAAAAAUCUGUUAAGUAUCCACAUUGUGUGUAGAUGUUCUUUUUUUUUUGACAAUGACCUUUACUUCUGUUUUAGUAAUAACUACAUGUUACAAAAAUUUAUUGGAUAAAUGAAAACAAAUAUUGAAGACGAUGAA